GUUGCAGGGUAUAGACCCGAAACCCGGUGAUCUAGCCAUGGGCAGGUUGAAGGUUGGGUAACACUAACUGGAGGACCGAACCGACUAAUGUUGAAAAAUUAGCGGAUGACCUGUGGCUGGGGGUGAAAGGCCAAUCAAACCGGGAGAUAGCUGGUUCUCCCCGAAAGCUAUUUAGGUAGCGCCUCGUGAAUUCAUCUCCGGGGGUAGAGCACUGUUUCGGCUAGGGGGCCAUCCCGGCUUACCAACCCGAUGCAAACUGCGAAUACCGGAGAAUGUUAUCACGGGAGACACACGGCGGGUGCUAACGUCCGUCGUGAAGAGGGAAACAACCCAGACCGCCAGCUAAGGUCCCAAAGUCAUGGUUAAGUGGGAAACGAUGUGGGAAGGCCCAGACAGCCAGGAUGUUGGCUUAGAAGCAGCCAUCAUUUAAAGAAAGCGUAAUAGCUCACUGGUCGAGUCGGCCUGCGCGGAAGAUGUAACGGGGCUAAACCAUGCACCGAAGCUGCGGCAGCGAACGUAUCACUUAAAGCGAUUCAGCGGGUUACGAUUGACGGAGCGAAGCGACGUCAAAGCGUAUACAAAGUCGAGUCGGUUUAAGGAUACGUUCGUUGGGUAGGGGAGCGUUCUGUAAGCCUGUGAAGGUGUGUCGUGAGGCAUGCUGGAGGUAUCAGAAGUGCGAAUGCUGACAUAAGUAACGAUAAAGCGGGUGAAAAGCCCGCUCGCCGGAAGACCAAGGGUUCCUGUCCAACGUUAAUCGGGGCAGGGUGAGUCGACCCCUAAGGCGAGGCCGAAAGGCGUAGUCGAUGGGAAACGGGUUAAUAUUCCCGUACUUGGUGUUACUGCGAAGGGGGGACGGAGAAGGCUAUGUUGGCCGGGCGACGGUUGUCCCGGUUUAAGCGUGUAGGUGUGUGUUCCAGGUAAAUCCGGUUCACUUUAACACUGAGGCGUGAUGACGAGGCACUACGGUGCUGAAGCAACAAAUGCCCUGCUUCCAGGAAAAGCCUCUAAGCAUCAGGUAACAUCAAAUCGUACCCCAAACCGACACAGGUGGUCAGGUAGAGAAUACCAAGGCGCUUGAGAGAACUCGGGUGAAGGAACUAGGCAAAAUGGUGCCGUAACU
Molecule: ribosomal RNA, 1120 nt
Filed under: Salmonella enterica subsp. enterica serovar Infantis
Lineage: Bacteria; Pseudomonadati; Pseudomonadota; Gammaproteobacteria; Enterobacterales; Enterobacteriaceae
Description: partial 23S ribosomal RNA
Rfam family: Bacterial large subunit ribosomal RNA
Source: RNAcentral